Molecule: long non-coding RNA, 260 nt
Filed under: Pan troglodytes (chimpanzee)
Lineage: Eukaryota; Metazoa; Chordata; Mammalia; Primates; Hominidae
Description: long non-coding RNA NONPTRT015407
Source: RNAcentral
CACACACCUCUCCUGUGGAUGGUUUCCACCCUCAUCCCUACAUCCCUCUGUGUCUGUCCACAUCUCUCCUGUGGAUGGUUUCCACCCUCACCCCUACAUCCCUCUGUGUCUGUCCACCCAUCUUUCCUGUGGAUGGUUUCCACUCUCACCUCAAUGCAAGUCUCCAGCCCAGUCCCAGAUGCCUCACGGCCCACUUGCUACCUCCCUCUAGAAAUCAUUCACCACAGUCCACACAUCACAACAGCCAAAUACAACCUGUG